This 1230-nucleotide ribosomal RNA is filed under the name uncultured prokaryote. RNAcentral describes it as "partial 16S ribosomal RNA". It matches the Rfam family "Bacterial small subunit ribosomal RNA", at positions 8 to 1239 of the family's 1533-position model. The record is from RNAcentral.
AGAGUUUGAUCCUGGCUCAGAAUGAACGCUGGCGGCGUGCCUAACACAUGCAAGUCGAACGAGAAAGCGGGCUUCGGCCCGUGAGUACAGUGGCAGACGGGUGAGUAAUACGUGGGUAACCUGCCCAGAGGUGGGGGAUAACCCUUCGAAAGGAGGGCUAAUACCGCAUGAUAUCUCGGGGGCUUCGGCUUUCGAGAUCAAAGCUUGCCUCUAUUUAUAAGCAAGCGCCACCGGAGGGGCCCACGCCCCAUUAGCUUGUUGGUGAGGUAACGGCUCACCAAGGCGACGAUGGGUAGCCGGCCUGAGAGGGUGAUCGGCCACACUGGAACUGAGACACGGUCCAGACUCCUACGGGAGGCAGCAGUGAGGAAUCUUGCGCAAUGGGCGAAAGCCUGACGCAGCGACGCCGCGUGGAGGACGAAGGCCUUCGGGUCGUAAACUCCUGUCAAGCGGGACGAAUCCUGGACGGAUGAAUAAGCCGGCCAGUUGACGGUACCGCUGGAGGAAGCCCCGGCUAACUCCGUGCCAGCAGCCGCGGUAAUACGGAGGGGGCCAGCGUUGUUCGGAAUUAUUGGGCGUAAAGGGCGCGUAGGCGGCCUGGUAAGUCAGUUGUGAAAUCCCUCGGCUCAACCGAGGAACUGCGACUGAAACUGCCGGGCUUGAGUCCCGGAGAGGGUGGCGGAAUUCCCAGUGUAGCGGUGAAAUGCGUAGAUAUUGGGAGGAACACCGGUGGCGAAGGCGGCCACCUGGACGGGUACUGACGCUGAGGCGCGAAAGCGUGGUGAGCAAACAGGAUUAGAUACCCUGGUAGUCCACGCCGUAAACGAUGGGUACUUGGUGUUGCGGGUAUCGACCCCUGCAGUGCCGAAGCUAACGCAUUAAGUACCCCGCCUGGGGAGUACGGUCGCAAGGCUGAAACUCAAAGGAAUUGACGGGGGCCCGCACAAGCGGGAGCAUGUGGUUUAAUUCGACGCACGCGAAAACCUUACCUGGGUUUGAUUGCGGUGGACCGCUCCAGAGAUGAGCUUCCCUUCGGGGCUGCCGUGAAGUGCUGCAUGCUGUCGUCAGCUCGUGUCUGAGAUGUUGGGUAAGUCCGCACGAGCGCACCCUUGCCUUACUGCCAGCGGUCGCGGACUCUUAGGGGACUGCCGUAUACGAGAAGGUGGAGACGACGCUCAGUCACUCAUGGCCUUAUGUUCCAGGCUCAUCACUCUACUCACACGACGUGGU